GAUGAACGCUGGCGGCGUGCCUAAUACAUGCAAGUCGAGCGAACAGACGAGGAGCUUGCUCCUCUGACGUUAGCGGCGGACGGGUGAGUAACACGUGGAUAACCUACCUAUAAGACUGGGAUAACUUCGGGAAACCGGAGCUAAUACCGGAUAAUAUAUUGAACCGCAUGGUUCAAUAGUGAAAGACGGUUUUGCUGUCACUUAUAGCUGGAUCCGCGCCGCAUUAGCUAGUUGGUAAGGUAACGGCUUACCAAGGCAACGAUGCGUAGCCGACCUGAGAGGGUGAUCGGCCACACUGGAACUGAGACACGGUCCAGACUCCUACGGGAGGCAGCAGUAGGGAAUCUUCCGCAAUGGGCGAAAGCCUGACGGAGCAACGCCGCGUGAGUGAAGAAGGUCUUCGGAUCGUAAAACUCUGUUAUUAGGGAAGAACAAAUGUGUAAGUAACUAUGCACGUCUUGACGGUACCUAAUCAGAAAGCCACGGCUAACUACGUG
Molecule: ribosomal RNA, 497 nt
Filed under: uncultured bacterium
Lineage: Bacteria
Description: partial 16S ribosomal RNA
Rfam family: Bacterial small subunit ribosomal RNA
Source: RNAcentral